Molecule: ribosomal RNA, 600 nt
Filed under: uncultured bacterium
Lineage: Bacteria
Description: bacterial SSU rRNA
Rfam family: Bacterial small subunit ribosomal RNA
Source: RNAcentral
GUGGGGUGAUGGCCUACCAAGGCGUCGACGGGUAGCUGGUCUGAGAGGACGAUCAGCCACACUGGGACUGAGACACGGCCCAGACUCCUACGGGAGGCAGCAGUGGGGAAUCUUGCGCAAUGGGCGGAAGCCUGACGCAGCAACGCCGCGUGAGGGAUGAAUGCCUUCGGGUUGUAAACCUCUUUCGAGCAGGGACGAUUGUGACGGUACCUGCAGAAGAAGCUCCGGCCAACUACGUGCCAGCAGCCGCGGUAAUACGUAGGGAGCGAGCGUUGUCCGGAUUUAUUGGGCGUAAAGAGCUCGUAGGCGGUUUGGUAAGUCGGAUGUGAAACCUCCACGCUCAACGUGGAGACGCCAUCCGAUACUGCUAUGACUUGAGUCCGGUAGGGGCCCACGGAAUUCCUGGUGUAGCGGUGAAAUGCGCAGAUAUCAGGAGGAACACCGGUGGCGAAGGCGGUGGGCUGGGCCGGUACUCACGCUGAGGAGCGAAAGCGUGGGGAGCGAACAGGAUUAGAUACCCUGGUAGUCCACGCCGUAAACGUUGGGCACUAGGUGUGGGAUCUUUCAACGGGUUCCGUGCCGUAGCUAACGCAUUAAGUG